RNAcentral lists this long non-coding RNA (1009 nucleotides) under Salmo salar (Atlantic salmon). Its description in RNAcentral is "lncRNA (ENSSSAG00000088375.1)". The record is from RNAcentral. Lineage: Eukaryota; Metazoa; Chordata; Actinopteri; Salmoniformes; Salmonidae.
CCCGUUUGAUGGCAACACCAUCCUGACCAUGGUGGAUUGGUUUUCCAAAGCCGCCCACUUCAUUCCUCUCCACAAACUACCCUCUGCCAAAAAUACAGCCCAGCUCAUGGUGCAGCACGUCUUCUGGAUCCAUGGUCUAACAGUAGACAUGGUCUCCGACCAGGGUCCUCAGUUCUCGUCCCAGUUCUGGAAGGCGUUCUGCACCCUCAUUGGGUCGUCGGCCAGCCUGUCCUGAUGGUUCCACCCCAGUCCAAUGGCCAGUCAGAGCGAGCCAACCAGGACCUAGAGACUACUCUGCUCUGCCUGGUCUCUGCCAACCCCACCACCUGGAGACAGCAGCUUGUGUGGGUCGAAUAUGCCCGCAACACCCUUCCCUGCUCUGCCACGGGCCUAACACCUUUUGAGUGUUUCUUGAGGUAUCAGCCCCCGCUCUUCCCUGAGCAGGAAGAAGUGGUUGGCAUACCUUCAGCCCAGAUGUUUGUCUGCCACUGUCAUUGUACCUGGAGGAGAGCUCAGCCCGGCCCUCCUCAAGACCACCUCCAGGUAUCGACGACAAGCAGAUUGCCACAGGAACCCGGCUCCCCGGUAUCGGCUAGGACAGAAGGCCCACACCUGUGAGCCGUCUCCUGAGGGUUCAACCUCGGGGCAGGGAGUUCCAGUACCUGGUUGACUGGGAGGGUUAAGGUCCAGGUAGGGUCCCCGCCAGGGAAUUCUGGGUCCCCGCCAGGGAAUUCUGGACCCAGGCCGUGGAUUUCCAAUGCCGACACCCUAGUCAACCAGGUAUGCGCCCAGCAGUGUGCUGGAUGUCACCAGGGUGAGAGGGGAACAGCCCCAGACCAAGCAGAACUCCCAGGACUCUGUACAGUUCUCGGCCCACUCAGCUGGCCUGAGUCCUGUUCACUAGCACCCCAGGGCCCUGGGUAAGUAUGCCUCACAGCAUUUCUCAACACCUCAAAUAUACCAUCACUGCAUGAUUUACACUGAAGUUCAAGUCCCAAGAACCAACUGG